UGGUUCUGGCAUCGAUGAAGAACGCAGCGAAAUGCGAUAAGUAAUGCGAAUUGCAGAAUCCGUGAGUCAUCGAAUCUUUGAACGCACAUUGCGCCCUUUGGUAUUCCGAAGGGCAUGCCUGUUCGAGCGUCAUUAUCACCACUCAAGCCCGGCUUGCUGUUGGUGGCAGCGUACUGGUCAACCGGCUACGCUCCACCCAAAGAUAAUGACGGCGUCUGUGAGGACUCCUGUACACUGAGCUUUCGGGCACGUAUAUGGUUAGAACUCCAGGCGCCGGUCGACGUCCUUAGGGACACUUUUUACCAAGGUUGACCUCGGAUCAGGUAGGGAUACCCGCUGA
This 340-nucleotide unclassified non-coding RNA is filed under the name uncultured fungus. Its description in RNAcentral is "partial contains 5.8S ribosomal RNA and internal transcribed spacer 2". The stretch from base 1 to 132 matches the Rfam family "5.8S ribosomal RNA", at positions 22 to 154 of the family's 154-position model. Lineage: Eukaryota; Fungi. The record is from RNAcentral.